UACGUAGGGUGCAAGCGUUAAUCGGAAUUACUGGGCGUAAAGCGUGCGCAGGCGGUUCGGAAAGCAAGCUGUGAAAUCCCAGAGCUUAACUUUGGAAUGGCAUUGUUAACUACCGGGCUAGAGUAUGUCAGAGGGGGGUAGAAUUCCACGUGUAGCAGUGAAAUGCGUAGAGAUGUGGAGGAAUACCGAUGGCGAAGGCAGCCCCCUGGGAUGAUACUGACGCUCAUGCACGAAAGCGUGGGGAGCAAACAGG
Molecule: ribosomal RNA, 253 nt
Filed under: uncultured bacterium
Lineage: Bacteria
Description: partial 16S ribosomal RNA
Rfam family: Bacterial small subunit ribosomal RNA
Source: RNAcentral